UGUGUGUGUGUGUGUGUGUGUGUCAUAACAAUCGCUAACCACUUCAAGCUUCAGGGGACCAGAAGAGCCCCUUACACUCACACGGUUUACAUCUGCAGGACAUGUCUGUGCCCGGUGAUGCAGUCAUAAUGUCCAUCAGGGCACACAUGGCAUCCUUCCCAUUUCAAGCACAUUGGUUAAACUCUGCUGCACACACCUGGGUGCUGCCCACAACAACCAACUAAGGAGGAGAAAAGAAGACCCAGAGAAGGU
This is a long non-coding RNA of Perca flavescens (yellow perch), 252 nucleotides long. RefSeq lists it as uncharacterized. NCBI's taxonomy places the organism in Eukaryota, Metazoa, Chordata, Actinopteri, Perciformes, Percidae. The transcript has 3 exons. The record is from RefSeq and is a predicted model, not a curated record.